This 506-nucleotide ribosomal RNA is filed under the name uncultured Glomeromycotina. RNAcentral's name for it is "partial small subunit ribosomal RNA". It matches the Rfam family "Eukaryotic small subunit ribosomal RNA", at positions 591 to 1092 of the family's 1831-position model. The record is from RNAcentral. Lineage: Eukaryota; Fungi; Glomeromycota.
CCAAUAGCGUAUAUUAAAGUUGCUGCAGUUAAAAAGCUCGUAGUUGAAUUUCGGGACUAAUAUGUCAGUCGACGGUCGUGCCUCGGUACGUACUGGUAUUUUUGGUUUCUCCCUUCUGACGAACCAUGAUGUCAUUAAUUUGGUGUCUUGGGAAAUCAGGACUGUUACUUUGAAAAAAUUAGAGUGUUUAAAGCAGGCUCACGCUUGAAUACAUUAGCAUGGAAUAAUGAAAUAGGACGUUUGAUUCUAUUUUGUUGGUUUCUAGGAUCGACGUAAUGAUUAAUAGGGAUAGUUGGGGGCAUUAGUAUUCAAUUGUCAGAGGUGAAAUUCUUGGAUUUAUUGAAGACUAACUACUGCGAAAGCAUUUGCCAAGGAUGUUUUCAUUAAUCAAGAACGAAAGUUAGGGGAUCGAAGACGAUCAGAUACCGUCGUAGUCUUAACCAUAAACUAUGCCGACUAGGGAUCGGAUGAUGUUAAUUUUUUAAUGACUCAUUCGGCGCCUUACG